Molecule: ribosomal RNA, 497 nt
Filed under: uncultured bacterium
Lineage: Bacteria
Description: partial 16S ribosomal RNA
Rfam family: Bacterial small subunit ribosomal RNA
Source: RNAcentral
GAUGAACGCUGGCGGCGUGCCUAAUACAUGCAAGUCGAGCGAACAGACGAGGAGCUUGCUCCUCUGACGUUAGCGGCGGACGGGUGAGUAACACGUGGAUAACCUACCUAUAAGACUGGGAUAACUUCGGGAAACCGGAGCUAAUACUGGAUAAUAUAUUGAACCGCAUGGUUCAAUAGUGAAAGACGGUUUUGCUGUCACUUAUAGAUGGAUCCGCGCCGCAUUAGCUAGUUGGUAAGGUAACGGCUUACCAAGGCAACGAUGCGUAGCCGACCUGAGAGGGUGAUCGGCCAAACUGGAACUGAGGCACGGUCCAGACUCCUACGGGAGGCAGCAGUAGGGAAUCUUCCGGAAUGGGCGAAAGCCUGACGGAGCAACGCCGCGUGAGUGAUGAAGGUCUUCGGAUCGUAAAACUCUGUUAUUAGGGAAGAACAAAUGUGUAAGUAACUAUGCACGUCUUGACGGUACCUAAUCAGAAAGCCACGGCUAACUACGUG